UACGAAGGGGGCGAGCGUUGUUCGGAAUUACUGGGCGUAAAGGGCGCGCAGGCGGCUCUUCAAGUCAGGCGUGAAAGCCCCGGGCUCAACCUGGGAGGUGCGCUUGGGACUGGGGAGCUUGAGAUCGGGAGAGGAGCGUGGAAUUCCCAGUGUAGAGGUGAAAUUCGUAGAUAUUGGGAAGAACACCGGUGGCGAAGGCGGCGCUCUGGACCGAGACUGACGCUGAGGCGCGAAAGCGUGGGGAGCAAACAGG
Molecule: ribosomal RNA, 253 nt
Filed under: uncultured bacterium
Lineage: Bacteria
Description: partial 16S ribosomal RNA
Rfam family: Bacterial small subunit ribosomal RNA
Source: RNAcentral